This 366-nucleotide ribosomal RNA is filed under the name uncultured bacterium. Its description in RNAcentral is "bacterial SSU rRNA". It matches the Rfam family "Bacterial small subunit ribosomal RNA", at positions 527 to 896 of the family's 1533-position model. The record is from RNAcentral.
GUGAGGUACAAGCGUUGCCCGGAUUUACUGGGCGUAAAGCGUUUCGUAGGCGCCCAAUCGCAUCUUCUUUCAAAGCCCGGAGCUUAACUUCGGAAAGGGAGAAGAGAUGGAUUUGGGUUGAAAUAUUUCGGAGCUAUUGGAACUAUCGGUGUAGGGGUGAAAUCCGUUGAUAUCGAUAGGAACUCCAAGGGCGAAGGCAGAUAGCUAGGAAUCAUUUGACGCUGAGGAACGAAAGCUAGGGGAGCGAAAGGGAUUAGAGACCCCUGUAGUCCUAGCCGUAAACUAUGCUCGCUACCCCGUGGAUUCGUUCACGGGGGUAAGCUAACGCGUGAAGCGAGCCGCCUGGGGAGUACGGCCGCAAGGCUA